CGCGGCCUAUCAGCUUGUUGGUGAGGUAAUGGCUCACCAAGGCGACGACGGGUAGCCGGCCUGAGAGGGUGACCGGCCACACUGGGACUGAGACACGGCCCAGACUCCUACGGGAGGCAGCAGUGGGGAAUAUUGCACAAUGGGCGAAAGCCUGAUGCAGUGACGCCGCGUGAGGGAUGACGGCCUUCGGGUUGUAAACCUCUUUCAGUAGGGAAGAAGCGAAAGUGACGGUACCUGCAGAAGAAGCACCGGCUAACUACGUGCCAGCAGCCGCGGUAAUACGUAGGGUGCGAGCGUUAUCCGGAAUUAUUGGGCGUAAAGAGCUCGUAGGCGGUUUGUCGCGUCUGUCGUGAAAGUCCGGGGCUUAACCCCGGAUCUGCGGUGGGUACGGGCAGACUAGAGUGCAGUAGGGGAGACUGGAAUUCCUGGUGUAGCGGUGGAAUGCGCAGAUAUCAGGAGGAACACUGACCCGAAGGCAGGUCUCUGUCCUGUAACUGACCAUGAGGAGCGAAAGCAUGGGGAGCGAACAGGAUUAGAUACCCUGGUAGUCCCAGCCGUCAACGUUGGGCUCUAGGUGUGGGGACCAUUCCACGGUUUCCGCGCCGCAGCUAACGCAUUAAGUGCCCCGCCUGGGGAGUCCGG
This 642-nucleotide ribosomal RNA is filed under the name uncultured bacterium. RNAcentral's name for it is "bacterial SSU rRNA". It matches the Rfam family "Bacterial small subunit ribosomal RNA", at positions 232 to 885 of the family's 1533-position model. The record is from RNAcentral.